GUGUGCUAUGAUAACACACAAAUUCGUGAAGUGUUCCAUAUUUUU
Molecule: small nuclear RNA, 45 nt
Filed under: Cervus elaphus hippelaphus
Lineage: Eukaryota; Metazoa; Chordata; Mammalia; Artiodactyla; Cervidae
Source: RNAcentral